This is a long non-coding RNA of Carassius carassius (crucian carp), 355 nucleotides long. RefSeq lists it as uncharacterized. Lineage: Eukaryota; Metazoa; Chordata; Actinopteri; Cypriniformes; Cyprinidae. The record is from RefSeq and is a predicted model, not a curated record. The transcript has 2 exons.
AAUUAUUGUCAAAACAGUUCAGACUUAUACAGCAGAGAUCAUUUACUCUGAUCCGACAUUUCACAGAAGCAACGAAGAGAAUUUGGCUGUUAAAGGGGAUGAUAAUGUGGAGUAUGCACCUAUUGCCACGAGAAAAUGAUCUCCAGUCUUAAGUGCUUUUCCAUCAGAUGAGUGUUUGCUUUUACUAGGAAUCUCCUGCAACAACCUCCAACUCUGAGCCUUGGGAUGAGUUUAAAGUUUGGUUAGAAUCACCACAUACUUAAGGACUGCUUAAUGAAAGGAUCCCCUAAAAAUAUACAUGUGUCUCAUUUAUCUACAAGUGUAUGAAACUGUUGUUUGAUCUGACAAACAAAAA